This is a long non-coding RNA of Pyrus x bretschneideri (Chinese white pear), 435 nucleotides long. RefSeq lists it as uncharacterized. The record is from RefSeq and is a predicted model, not a curated record. The transcript is spliced from 2 exons. NCBI's taxonomy places the organism in Eukaryota, Viridiplantae, Streptophyta, Magnoliopsida, Rosales, Rosaceae.
UUUCGUAUCGACGAGGAUUCUUGGCAUAUCCCAGUAUAGGUGGCUACCUAUGAUGGUGUCAGCCAGCACAGCUCGAUUCAGAGUCCUAGCGGACAUUCCGGGUCAGAGUAUGUCAUGGCAAGAGCAAGCUAUUUUACUCUUAUAUGCUAUAUAUAGUUAGGAUUUAAUAAAAUUUACUUUCUUCAAGUAGUUGGUUUGGAAAGUUGUAGUGUGAAAUUAUUGAGUUGUUUUGUGGAUCGACUGACAAUUUCCAAGCACCAUGAUGUUAGCAUCAUGUUGGACGAUAGGUUGCCAUUGCUCUCCUUUAACUUCGCUAUCGACUACUUAUAAUACUACUAUAUAAAGACAUGGUCAUCGUGUUGGGUGAUUAAAUGUAAAUCAAACUUAGAUGAUCUUACAAUUGCAACAGAACAUAUGACAUUAAAAGUUUAAUUC